UAAAAAUAUAUAGACCCAAUUUUUUUUAUUAACAAUUGAUAAUGUGGUAUCUACUAUAUCUACUGAAUAUGACAUUAUUUUAGGUCGCAGAAAAAAAUCAAAACAUAGAAGAGUACAAUCGAUGAAGGAAUUCAAACAUAAUACCUACGGGAUCGAGAACAAGACCUGUUUACUUAAUAAUUUGCCAAGUUACUAAAUGGAGGGAUAACAUUGAAUUAAAUCAAUGCAACUUGAAUUAAGUCCGUAUAUACCAUAUAGAUAAAAUAUCAUAACUGCAUAGUGCAUAUCUAUAUAGGAAUACGGAUUUACAGUCAAAUACAUAAAUAAAAUUAUGAAGCGAAACUACAAAGCAUGAAAUCAUGUAGAGAACAUUGGAAAUGGAUCUAUUUUUAUGGAAAAGUAGAUAAACAAAUUUUGUAAACAAGCGUACAUAUUUUUUGGACUUUACUCAAUCAAUCUACACAUGUAUCAUAUGGUGUCUCCUGGAUAACGAUAAUAGGCUGAAGAGACUCGAUUCGAACAACCUAACAAAUAUUGGUCGGAUUCAACGCCUAUAACCCAAAAGUAUUUAUGGGUUCUACUGUUCCAGGUCACCUUGUAUGGUCGAGCAUUAAAAGUGCGAAA
Molecule: long non-coding RNA, 624 nt
Organism: Rhopalosiphum maidis (corn leaf aphid)
Lineage: Eukaryota; Metazoa; Arthropoda; Insecta; Hemiptera; Aphididae
Exons: 3
Source: RefSeq, a predicted model, not a curated record